RNAcentral lists this ribosomal RNA (468 nucleotides) under uncultured bacterium. Its description in RNAcentral is "bacterial SSU rRNA". It matches the Rfam family "Bacterial small subunit ribosomal RNA", at positions 8 to 518 of the family's 1533-position model. The record is from RNAcentral.
AGAGUUGAUUAUGGCUCAGAACGAACGCUGGCGGCAGGCCUAACACAUGCAAGUCGAGCGCGCCCUUCGGGGGUGAGCGGCGGACGGGUUAGUAACGCGUGGGAACGUACCCUUUGGUAGGGAAUAGCCACUGGAAACGGUGAGUAAUACCCUAUGAGCCCUUCGGGGGAAAGAUUUAUCGCCAAAGGAUCGGCCCGCGUUAGAUUAGGUAGUUGGUGGGGUAAUGGCCUACCAAGCCUACGAUCUAUAGCUGGUUUUAGAGGAUGAUCAGCAACACUGGGACUGAGACACGGCCCAGACUCCUACGGGAGGCAGCAGGUGGGGAAUCUUGGACAAGUGGGGGCAACCCUGAACUCCAGCCACGCCGCGUGAGUGAAGAAGGCCUUAGGGUCGUAAAGCUCUUUCGCCUGUGAAGAUAAUGACGGUAGCAGGUAAAGAAACCCCGGCUAACUCCGUGCCAGCAGCCGC